GUCUUUGGGGGUUUGAGCUUAGAAGUUGGAUCUAGCUGAGGAUGACCAUGGCUACUAAUGGCGAUCACUAAAAACUUGCCAAAAAUUGUCCAAGGGCCUCACCUCUUUCUUCUAAAAUAAUGGAACUCUAAAACAAUAAAGGUGAAACCUGAGGAUGGGAGCGCACCUAUUUGUAAAAGCUCAGACAACUCCAAUCUGAUGGUGAUUCACCUAGCCACUAUUGAUGGCUACCAAGUAGCGGCCUAAGGUUGGCCAUAGUCGACCUUACAUGGAUUAGCAUCUCUAAUGGCCC
RNAcentral lists this long non-coding RNA (292 nucleotides) under Elaeis guineensis (African oil palm). RNAcentral describes it as "long non-coding RNA (EGUI_LNC009823)". The record is from RNAcentral. Lineage: Eukaryota; Viridiplantae; Streptophyta; Magnoliopsida; Arecales; Arecaceae.